AAGUCGUAACAAGGUUUCCGUAGGUGAACCUGCGGAAGGAUCAUUAACGAAUAUCUAUGGCGUUGGUUGUAGCUGGCUCCUAGGAGCAUUUGUGCACGCCCGUCAUUCAUAUCAUCUUUCCACCUGUGAACUAUGUGUAGAUCUGGAUAUCCCUCGCUUUGUAACGAAGCGGAUGCAAGGAUUGCUGCGUCGACAAGGCCGGCUCUCUUUGAAUUUCCAGGUCUAUGUCUUUUUACACACCCCAUUCGAAUGAUGUAGAAUGUAGUCAAUGGGCUUUCAAGCCUAUAAAACACUAUACAACUUUCAGCAACGGAUCUCUUGGCUCUC
The sequence is an unclassified non-coding RNA, 327 nucleotides long. The stretch from base 1 to 46 matches the Rfam family "Eukaryotic small subunit ribosomal RNA", at positions 1786 to 1831 of the family's 1831-position model.